Molecule: ribosomal RNA, 406 nt
Filed under: uncultured bacterium
Lineage: Bacteria
Description: partial 16S ribosomal RNA
Rfam family: Bacterial small subunit ribosomal RNA
Source: RNAcentral
AUUGAACGCUGGCGGCAGGCCUAACACAUGCAAGUCGAACGAGUGGCGGACGGGUGAGUAAUGUCUGGGAAACUGCCUGAUGGAGGGGGCUAACUACUGGAAACGGUAGCUAAUACCGCAUACCAUCAGAUGUGCCCACAGGGGAUGAGCUAGUAGGUGGGGUAACGGCUCACCUAGGCGACGAUCCCUACCUGGUCUGAGAGGAUGACCAGCCACACUGGAACGUGGACACGGUCCAGACUCCUACGGGAGGCAGCAGUGGGGAAUAUUGCACAAUGGUCGCAAGCCGUAUGCAGCCAUGCCGCGUGUGUGAAGAAGUCCUUGGGGUUGUAAAGCACUUUCAGCGGGGAGGCGUUACCCGCAGAAGAAGGACCGGCUAACUCCGUGCCAGCAGCCGCGGUAAUAC